GAAACAUCGGACAUUUAUUUGAAGCCAAGACAAAGAGAUUUUCAGAUACCUAUAAAUGAAGUCAGUAAGCUGAAAGUAUCAGUAAGCUGAAAGUAUCAGUAAGCUGAAACAUAUGAAGAUGAAAUCAAGAGUCAUGAAUUGAACAAACACACUGGAAAGCUUCAUUAACUGUUUUUCAAGCUGAUGGGGGUAAUUUACUGCUCUUGCACUUCCUGGCUAAGCCAAAAGGAUUAAUGUGUUGUGAAAUGAGGAGUGGUGGUGGAAACAGACUCCCAGUGGGGCAGGAGAGUGCAAUGCUUCGAGUCUCAGAAUUCAAGAUUCAGCAUGUUGAUCUAAAUGGAAUUGAAGAAGUCUUCCCAGAUUUUUCUUUUCUAAUUUCUGCAAGAGAGAUCAUGGGAAGAAAAAGUUACAAGGAAUAAGAGAGAAAAAGAAUUUAUAAGAUGCUUGCUGAUCUGAGAUAUUUUUUCACGAACAUAAUGAAUAAUACCAACAUACCAAACUUUUUGGACUUUUCUUCUGAUGGAAAGAAUAAUUGUAAAG
Molecule: long non-coding RNA, 540 nt
Filed under: Pan troglodytes (chimpanzee)
Lineage: Eukaryota; Metazoa; Chordata; Mammalia; Primates; Hominidae
Description: long non-coding RNA NONPTRT014802
Source: RNAcentral